UACGUAGGUGGCAAGCGUUGUCCGGAUUUAUUGGGCGUAAAGGGAGCGCAGGUGGUUUCUUAAGUCUGAUGUGAAAGCCCACGGCUUAACCGUGGAGGGUCAUUGGAAACUGGGAAACUUGAGUACAGAAGAGGAAUGUGGAACUCCAUGUGUAGCGGUGGAAUGCGUAGAUAUAUGGAAGAACACCAGUGGCGAAGGCGACAUUCUGGUCUGUUACUGACACUGAGGCUCGAAAGCGUGGGGAGCAAACAGGAUUAGAAACCCC
RNAcentral lists this ribosomal RNA (265 nucleotides) under uncultured archaeon. Its description in RNAcentral is "partial 16S ribosomal RNA". It matches the Rfam family "Bacterial small subunit ribosomal RNA", at positions 524 to 788 of the family's 1533-position model. The record is from RNAcentral.